RNAcentral lists this long non-coding RNA (200 nucleotides) under Ailuropoda melanoleuca (giant panda). Its description in RNAcentral is "lncRNA (ENSAMEG00000024525.1)". The record is from RNAcentral. Lineage: Eukaryota; Metazoa; Chordata; Mammalia; Carnivora; Ursidae.
CGAACCCCAGGAGUGAGGGCGCACAGCCGGGACGAGGAAGCGGCGGUCGGAAACCCCGCACCAGCGCUGCCAGCUUGCGGUCCGACGUGGGCUCAGCGCCCUGGGCGCGGGCUCCCGGGGCGAAGGAGAGAGCUAGCUUAGUUCCGGCCGGCGCCCACCAGGAACGGGCCGCCCUUCCCCAAAUCAGAUUGAAUACAUGA